GAUGAACGCUGGCGGCGUGCCUAAUACAUGCAAGUCGAGCGAACAGACGAGGAGCUUGCUCCUCUGACGUUAGCGGCGGACGGGUGAGUAACACGUGGAUAACCUACCUAUAAGACUGGGAUAACUUCGGGAAACCGGAGCUAAUACUGGAUAAUAUAUUGAACCGCAUGGUUCAAUAGUGAAAGACGGUUUUGCUGUCACUUAUAGAUGGAUCCGCGCCGCAUUAGCUAGUUGGUAAGGUAACGGCUUACCAAGGCGACGAUGCGUAGCCGACCUGAGAGGGUGAUCGGCCACACUGGAACUGAGACACGGUCCAGACUCCUACGGGAGGCAGCAGUAGGGAAUCUUCCGCAAUGGGCGAAAGCUUGACGGAGCAACGCCGCGUGAGUGAUGAAGGUCUUCGGAUCGUAAAACUCUGUUAUUAGGGAAGAACAAAUGUGUAAGUAACUAUGCACGUCUUGACGGUACCUAAACAGAAAGCCACGGCUAACUACGUG
Molecule: ribosomal RNA, 497 nt
Filed under: uncultured bacterium
Lineage: Bacteria
Description: partial 16S ribosomal RNA
Rfam family: Bacterial small subunit ribosomal RNA
Source: RNAcentral